RNAcentral lists this ribosomal RNA (402 nucleotides) under uncultured bacterium. RNAcentral's name for it is "bacterial SSU rRNA". It matches the Rfam family "Bacterial small subunit ribosomal RNA", at positions 355 to 774 of the family's 1533-position model. The record is from RNAcentral.
UGGGGAAUCUUGUACAAUGGGGGCAACCCUGAUGCAGCGACGCCGCGUGAGCGAUGAAGCCCUUCGGGGCGUAAAGCUCUUUCGACCGGAACGAUAAUGACGGUACCGGGAGAAGAAGCUGCGGCUAACUACGUGCCAGCAGCCGCGGUAAUACGUAGGCAGCAAGCGUUGUUCGGAGUUACUGGGCGUAAAGAGUGCGUAGGCGGUUUUCUAAGUUCGGUGUGAAAUCUCCCGGCUUAACUGGGAGGGUGCGCCGAAGACUGGGAAGCUGGAGUGUGGGAAAGGCAGGCGGAAUUCCUGGUGUAGCGGUGAAAUGCGUAGAUAUCAGGAGGAACACCGGCGGUGUAGACGGCUUGCUAGACCAUAACUGACGCUGAGGCACGAAAGCGUGGGUAGCAAACA